RNAcentral lists this ribosomal RNA (1918 nucleotides) under Thalassiosira antarctica. RNAcentral's name for it is "partial Bacterial large subunit ribosomal RNA". It matches the Rfam family "Bacterial large subunit ribosomal RNA", at positions 1 to 1962 of the family's 2925-position model. The record is from RNAcentral. Lineage: Eukaryota; Bacillariophyta; Thalassiosirophyceae; Thalassiosirales; Thalassiosiraceae.
CAAGGAACUAAGAGUUUAUGGGGGAUACCUUGGCAUUCAGAAGCGAUGAAGGACGUGGUUACCGACGAUACGCUUCGGGGAGCUGGAAACAAGCUAUGAUCCGGAGGUCUCCGAAUGAGGCAACUUUUUAACUACUUAUUGAAUUCAUAGAUAAGAAAGAGCGAACCUAGAGAAUUGAAACAUCUUAGUACCUAGAGGAAAAGAAAGUAAAAACGAUUCCCUGAGUAGCGGCGAGCGAAACGGGAUUAGCCUAAACUUAAUUAUAAAUUAAGGGUAGUGGGACAAUAAUAAAGAAUUUAAUGGAACGAUUAGAGGAAUAAGUUUGGAAUACUUAACCAUAGAGAGUGAUAGUCUCGUACUCGAAAAUUGAACCAAUUCAAUUGUAUCCCAAGUAGCAUGGAGCACGUGAAAUUCCGUGUGAAUCUGCGAGGACCACCUCGUAAGGCUAAAUAUUCCUGAAUGACCGAUAGUGAAACAGUACCGUGAGGGAAAGGUGAAAAGAACCCCGGGAGGGGAGUGAAAAGAACAUGAAACCAUAAACUUACAAGCAGUAGGAGGACGACUAAAACGUCUGACUGCGUGCCUGUUGAAGAAUGAGCCGGCGACUUAUAGUUAGUGGCAGGUUAAAGUAGUGAAUACUGAAGCCACAGUGAAAGCGAGCCUGAAUAGGGCGUUUGUCACUAGUUAUAGACCCGAACCCGGAUGAUCUAACCAUGGUCAGGUUGAAGCUCAGGUAAUACUGAGUGGAGGACCGAACCGACUGAUGUUGAAAAAUCAGCGGAUGAAUUGUGGUUAGGGGUGAAAUGCCAAUCGAAUUCGGAGCUAGCUGGUUCUCCCCGAAAUGCGUUUUGGCGCAGCGGUAAAUGUUAUAAUUUAGGGGUAAAGCACUGUUACGUAUGCGGGCUGGUAAUUCGGUACCAAAUCGUUGCAAACUAAGAAUACUAAAUGUACAGUUUACCAGUAAGACUGUGGGGGAUAAGCUCCAUUGUCAAGAGGGAAACAGCCCAGAGCACCAGUUAAGGCCCUUAAAUAAUUACUAAGUGGUAAAGGAGGUGGGAGUGCAUAAACAAUCAGGAGGUUUGCUUAGAAGCAGCAAUCCUUUAAAGAGUGCGUAAUAGCUCACUGAUCGAGUAAACCUGCGCCGAAAAUGUAUGGGACUAAGUAAUUUGCCGAAACUGUGCGAUAUAUAUUUAUAUAUCGGUAGGGGAGCGUUCUGUUGUAGGUCGAAGUAUUAGCGUAAGCGGAUAUGGACGAAGCAGAAGUGAGAAUGUCGGCUUGAGUAACGAAAAUAUAGGUGAGAAUCCUAUACCCCGAAAACCCAAGGUUUCCUCCGGAAGGCUCGUCCGCGGAGGGUAAGUCAGGACCUAAGGCGAGGCUGAAAAGCGUAGUCGAUGGACAACGGGUUAAUAUUCCCGUACCGUUUUUUAUUGAUAUCGAGGGACGGAGAAGGCUAAGCUAGCCGGAUAUUGGUUUUACCGGUUUAAACGUUCGAGAUGUUGAGAAGCGGAGAAAACGCUUUGAGUUGAGACGUGAAUACGAGACGCUAAGGCGUCGAAGUAGUGUAUGUCAUACUUCCAAGAAAAGCUUGCACUGUCAUAAAUAAAAAAUGCCUGUACCAUAACCGACACAGGUGGGUAGGUAGAGUAUACUAAGGGGCGCGAGAUAACUCUCUCUAAGGAACUCGGCAAAAUAACUCCGUAACUUCGGGAGAAGGAGUGCCUUAUUUAUAAGGUUGCAAUAACAAGAUCCAAGCAACUGUUUAUCAAAAACACAGGUCUCCGCUAAGUCGUAAGACGAUGUAUGGGGGCUGACGCCUGCCCAGUGCCAGAAGGUUAAAGAAGUUGGUUAGCAAUUGCGAAGCUGAUAACUGAAGCCCUGGUGAACGGCGGCCGUAACAAUAACGGUCCUAAGGUAGCGA